This 759-nucleotide ribosomal RNA is filed under the name Neisseria subflava. Its description in RNAcentral is "bacterial SSU rRNA". It matches the Rfam family "Bacterial small subunit ribosomal RNA", at positions 28 to 776 of the family's 1533-position model. Lineage: Bacteria; Pseudomonadati; Pseudomonadota; Betaproteobacteria; Neisseriales; Neisseriaceae. The record is from RNAcentral.
AUUGAACGCUGGCGGCAUGCUUUACACAUGCAAGUCGGACGGCAGCACAGAGAAGCUUGCUUCUUGGGUGGCGAGUGGCGAACGGGUGAGUAACAUAUCGGAACGUACCGAGUAAUGGGGGAUAACUAAUCGAAAGAUUAGCUAAUACCGCAUAUUCUCUGAGGAGGAAAGCAGGGGACCUUCGGGCCUUGCGUUAUUCGAGCGGCCGAUAUCUGAUUAGCUAGUUGGUGGGGUAAAGGCCUACCAAGGCGACGAUCAGUAGCGGGUCUGAGAGGAUGAUCCGCCACACUGGGACUGAGACACGGCCCAGACUCCUACGGGAGGCAGCAGUGGGGAAUUUUGGACAAUGGGCGCAGGCCUGAUCCAGCCAUGCCGCGUGUCUGAAGAAGGCCUUCGGGUUGUAAAGGACUUUUGUCAGGGAAGAAAAGGCUGUUGCUAAUAUCGACAGCUGAUGACGGUACCUGAAGAAUAAGCACCGGCUAACUACGUGCCAGCAGCCGCGGUAAUACGUAGGGUGCGAGCGUUAAUCGGAAUUACUGGGCGUAAAGCGAGCGCAGACGGUUACUUAAGCAGGAUGUGAAAUCCCCGGGCUCAACCUGGGAACUGCGUUCUGAACUGGGUGACUAGAGUGUGUCAGAGGGAGGUAGAAUUCCACGUGUAGCAGUGAAAUGCGUAGAGAUGUGGAGGAAUACCGAUGGCGAAGGCAGCCUCCUGGGAUAACACUGACGUUCAUGCUCGAAAGCGUGGGUAGCAAACAGG